RNAcentral lists this ribosomal RNA (254 nucleotides) under uncultured bacterium. Its description in RNAcentral is "partial 16S ribosomal RNA". It matches the Rfam family "Bacterial small subunit ribosomal RNA", at positions 524 to 776 of the family's 1533-position model. The record is from RNAcentral.
UACGGGGGGAGCAAGCGUUGUUCGGAUUUACUGGGCGUAAAGGGCGCGUAGGCGGCCUCCGCAAGUCAGUUGUGAAAUCUCCGAGCUUAACUCGGAAAGGUCAACUGAUACUGCGGGGCUAGAGUGCGGAAGGGGCAACUGGAAUUCUUGGUGUAGCGGUGAAAUGCGUAGAUAUCAAGAGGAACACCUGAGGUGAAGACGGGUUGCUGGGCCGACACUGACGCUGAUGCGCGAAAGCCAGGGGAGCAAACGGG